Molecule: long non-coding RNA, 393 nt
Organism: Peromyscus leucopus (white-footed mouse)
Lineage: Eukaryota; Metazoa; Chordata; Mammalia; Rodentia; Cricetidae
Exons: 3
Source: RefSeq, a predicted model, not a curated record
CUGAGACCCAAGGCCGACAGACUUCUUCCCACUGCACAGUGGCGUUGGGCCGGAUUUCACUGCAAAUAUGAAAAGCACAGGAAAGGUUUUAUUUCUCCAAGAAGGCAGAUGACUUUGGUUCAGUAUGAAGAGCUUCCUGCAAGAGUUAUACAAGGAGAACUCCUGGUUUGGGCUUUCUGACCUUUUUGGAUGGCAAAUAUUGGGUUGCCUGAAAACCAGGACAGUCUUUUUCAGGGAGAAUGGAAGGGAGACUAAGCAACAGAAGGCUCAGGAGAUGGCUAUCUGUGGCUCUCCACCUUACUUCAGCCAGUUCAACAGAGACCAAAGUAUGUGAAACGCAUAAUCUCUAUGUAAGUAUUGUUUUCAAAUUGACUUCAUGAUACAAAGUUUGAA